GGCCGUGACGUUGUUCCCAAACGUAACCCCUUCCCCGCAGGUCUUGUGCGGAAUUCAGUUUACCGCGACGACGGCGCGCGAGGCUUAAUCGCGUGCCCUCGGGCAGCCCCUCGCAGGUGUGCCGACGCAGACAGCAAAGGCGCGCUAACGCCGACAUGUUGAAAGGAAAGGGCCCAUUUUCCAAGGAAGCUUGUGACUCCAAACAAGAGGAGCAUCCCUGGCGGAUGCUGGGAAAUCAAACCCAGGAUUCUUCCAUGGCAGGUAAUAUGAGCUUCCUGCCAAGGGCCCUGGUCAGCAAGUAUCCCACACAAGUCCAUCUGAAGAUAAACAAGGGCAUGAACGGAUUUGUUUAAAAGGAAAAACACGGUGACUUUUCUGCACUUGGUUAGAUACUGAGUGCAUCUCUGUCCAGCCCUCUAAGUUACUUUAGCCAAGGGUUAAAUAAAGUGCACAUAUUUCACCAUGUC
Electrophorus electricus (electric eel) is the source of this 467-nucleotide non-coding RNA. Lineage: Eukaryota; Metazoa; Chordata; Actinopteri; Gymnotiformes; Gymnotidae. The record is from RefSeq and is a predicted model, not a curated record.